GGUUGACUAGUGUAAUGGUUAUCACAGCGGAUUCUGAUUCCGCUAAUCUGGGUUCGAUUCCCAGGUCGACCU
Molecule: transfer RNA, 72 nt
Filed under: Whalleya microplaca
Lineage: Eukaryota; Fungi; Ascomycota; Sordariomycetes; Xylariales; Xylariaceae
Also listed under: 1 other name
Description: tRNA-Gln
Rfam family: tRNA
About the family: Transfer RNA (tRNA) molecules are approximately 80 nucleotides in length. Their secondary structure includes four short double-helical elements and three loops (D, anti-codon, and T loops).
Source: RNAcentral